Molecule: ribosomal RNA, 672 nt
Filed under: uncultured bacterium
Lineage: Bacteria
Description: bacterial SSU rRNA
Rfam family: Bacterial small subunit ribosomal RNA
Source: RNAcentral
AGCGGCGGACGGGUGAGUAACGCGUGGGAAUAUGCCCUUCUCUAAGGAAUAGCCUCGGGAAACUGAGAGUAAUACCUUAUACGCCCUUCGGGGGAAAGAUUUAUCGGAGAAGGAUUAGCCCGCGUUAGAUUAGGUAGUUGGUGGGGUAAUGGCCUACCAAGCCUACGAUCUAUAGCUGGUUUGAGAGGAUGAUCAGCCACACUGGGACUGAGACACGGCCCAGACUCCUACGGGAGGCAGCAGUAGGGAAUCUUAGACAAUGGGGGAAACCCUGAUCUAGCCAUGCCGCGUGUGUGAUGAAGGCCUUAGGGUCGUAAAGCACUUUCGCCAGAGAUGAUAAUGACAGUAUCUGGUAAAGAAACCCCGGCUAACUCCGUGCCAGCAGCCGCGGUAAUACGGAGGGGGUUAGCGUUGUUCGGAAUUACUGGGCGUAAAGCGUACGUAGGCGGAUUAGUAAGUUAGAGGUGAAAUCCCAGGGCUCAACCCUGGAACUGCCUUUAAUACUGCUAGUCUUGAGUUCGAGAGAGGUAAGUGGAAUUCCGAGUGUAGAGGUGAAAUUCGUAGAUAUUCGGAGGAACACCAGUGGCGAAAGCGGCUUACUGGCUCGAUACUGACGCUGAGGUACGAAAGUGUGGGGAGCAAACAGGAUUAGAUACCCUGUUAGUCACACGA